UACAGAGGUCCCAAGCGUUGUUCGGAUUCAUUGGGCGUAAAGGAUGCGUAGGUGGCGCUGUAAGUCGGGUGUGAAAUUUCGGAGCUUAACUCCGAAACUGCAUUCGAUACUGCGGUGCUCGAGGACUGGAGAGGAGACUGGAAUUCAUGGUGUAGCAGUGAAAUGCGUAGAGAUCAUGAGGAAGACCAGUGGCGAAGGCGGGUCUCUGGACAGUUCCUGACACUGAGGCACGAAGGCCAGGGGAGCAAACGGG
This 253-nucleotide ribosomal RNA is filed under the name uncultured bacterium. RNAcentral's name for it is "partial 16S ribosomal RNA". It matches the Rfam family "Bacterial small subunit ribosomal RNA", at positions 524 to 776 of the family's 1533-position model. The record is from RNAcentral.